Molecule: non-coding RNA, 2032 nt
Organism: Podarcis muralis (Common wall lizard)
Lineage: Eukaryota; Metazoa; Chordata; Lepidosauria; Squamata; Lacertidae
Source: RefSeq, a predicted model, not a curated record
UCGGCUACCCGAAAUACAUGUUGUUGCAACAGACAAUGAAGGUAUCGAAUACGGAGCGGCGUGGGGAUCACUCAGCUGUGAGAUGGGAUGCAAGUGGGCCACAUGUUUCUGUGUACGUCGAGAUCUGUAUCAACCCAUGCAUUGGGGAUGGGCCUAUUGCAGGAGGCCAGUGGCCUGAAAGCAGUGGAAGUAUAGUUCUACUCCAGGUCCAUUUUGGAGCCAUUUUGACAUCAGAGGCGAAGCAUCCACCUUGAUGUUGCAGUGCUGAAAUGCUGGACAGCCAACCUAUUAAAAGAAGCAACGUUGAAGCAGCAGAGAGAUAGUGCCUGGCCUCCUGUGCUUCUGUGCCUUUUCCAAGUAUUCGAGGCGGAAAUUCAGCUUGCAAAAGGUGGUUUUGGUGAAUGCCUGUUCCCGUCAUCCUCUAAGAACAGAUAAGUUACUCAUUUAUCUUACAGAAGCGUCCUUAUAUUUCAGUCUAAAGGCAUUCAAAAUGGUAGGAGCAACAGGAAGCAGUGCUGCAACCAACAAAAGACUGCUCUGUAAGAGCUGGGAAGAAAAUCUACAGAAAGGCCCUGAGGCCACAUUGAAGCGCUGUGAAAAUUUAAGUACCUCUGCCCAGCUCAAGUGCACAAUGGAGUCUGAUUCUGGGACUCAUUUGGAAGACGAUUGAGUAGAUAAACAGAAGCAGCUGCUUCUGAAGUUGGGCCCCAUCCUUAAAGAUCUGCCUCUUGAGAGGACUCAGUUAUACUGAAGAAAGACUGAGACACCAGCAACAUUUCUAUGUUGGCCCCAGACUUUGAAACUUGACUGCAGCAAGUGGAAUCCAUCUUCACUCUAUCCACACUUAUCUCUUGGUCUCAAUGAAAACUCAUGGCACUUCUACUUGGAAGAUUAAUGGGUGCUCCCCAUACACCUUGAUAAUCCAACUUCUCCCUUGGCUCCACCCUCAGAGUUCCUUGGCCUACUGGGAUCACUCAGUGGAAAUUCAGAUGCUGCCUGUGCAGAGGUAUGCAACGGAGGAGCAAUCAACACUGAGACUGCAAUCUAAAAGGGGGAAGUUUGUAUUACUAGAAGAUGACAUGAAAAAGACAUCAGGACCCUGGACAGCACUUAGGGAGAAAAUGGGAGGACAAGAAAGACAAGGGAGAGUGCCAUCCAUGACUUUGUGGAUUUUGCAGGCUGAUCCUGAAGAAAAGUCUCUCACCCACAUUCUAGCUUUCUGUCUGUUUUUACAAUUUUGUGUAGGUUUCUGUGGGAUAGGUCAUCAGGUUAACCACUACACUUUGAAAUGAAUAGGAUAUGUGUAUCAGAGACAAGCAUGUAGGUAAACAUUCUUUUUUUGGCUUAAAAAGCAAUGUCUAAUGCAACUCUUCACUUGCAUGCUAUCACAUGUGCUCUUUAUGCUAUGCUGGAACAAAUGCCAUUGCCAUAUGUGGGGUAUGUGUAUUGUCAUGUUAUUAAUCUCAUUUUCCCGACUCUUGUCAUCUCCCAUCUACCUGUCUUCAUGUCCCUGUCUUCUCUUUGCUUACUUUCAUUUGACUUAAUCGUCAUCCACUUUUUCUACCGAAACACACACAAAACAGCUUACAAAAGAGUUUCAAUUAGGUGCAAUAAAAAUAUAGACAUGCAAUACAAAACACACAGAAAAUACUCUAUAUUUUUCAAGUCUCCUGCUCCAAACUCCCUACUGUUCUUUGUGUUUUUCUCUCAUAAUAUUGCCCUGCUCAUUUUUCAUAGAUGGCAGGCAUCCUCAGUGAGAUAACUGAUUUCUGGAAGUUACAGGAUUGCUCUGGUAGAAAGGGGCUGCUUCAUUUAUAGCUCACUAAUGCUAGCUGUUGAAUAGUUAAGGACUUGUAUAAUGUUUGCAUCCAUUCAAGUGAGAUUCCUGUGCUCCUAACACCAUUUACACUAACCUACAACCUAAGCAGCAGAUGUUAGAGAGCAAGAAACUUGAGGGUUGUUUAUUUUAUAUGUGUUUAGAUGCAGAGCCUGAUGUAAUAUUCCCCCAAUAUAAAAUGGAAUUUGAAACACA